This is a non-coding RNA of Phasianus colchicus (ring-necked pheasant), 1195 nucleotides long. The record is from RefSeq and is a predicted model, not a curated record. Lineage: Eukaryota; Metazoa; Chordata; Aves; Galliformes; Phasianidae.
ACUUCAGUUGUUUCACUUUCGUUUCACUACUGCUGAUCCCGGGUUUCGCUCAUUGCUGUUCCGUAUUACUGCGCUAUGGAGUUUCACUUGAACAACUUCCUGCUACUUUUUGCUGCCUUCCUUACCUAACUUACCCACAGGGUUGUGUUUCUGUCAAGGGCUUGGGACCUGCAGCUGUCACUCAGGUGCGGUUUGUGUAAACAGAUGUUGUGCACGUAGCAGUGGUACCUGAGGCACAGUGCACUGAUACCAGAGCAGUCCUUUAUGGGGUCAGUGACUUUGCAGAUGUGACAAGGAAGCCUGUACCUUACUUGGGUCAGUGCUACCUGAUGCACCAGAUACUGCUAAGGCUGACCAGUGGCUGAUCUCCUGUCCUGCCCUACUCUCCUGUUGCUCUCCAGCAGAAUACCUGCCCUUCUCGCCCUGCAGUCAUUCCCAAGACUCAGAUCUGGCUAAAGCCAGUCACAGCCUCUGACAGCAACACGAGCACCUCCUUGCCCCGUGUGGUACACCACAGCAAGCUCAAAAUGCACGCGUGCAGCCGGGGAGACGGCUCAGAGGCAAGGAUGAAAGCACAUCGCUUUACUUCAGCCAAGAGGCCGCGCAGCCCCUCUCAGUGCCCCCCGGGGCAACUCCGUGCAGGCGCCCAACAGCAGUUCUGGUCGAUGGCAGCGGCACGGGCGCCGCCGCGUUGCUAUGGUAACGGCGCAGCCUCCAUUUUGCCGCUCUUGGCGGUGGCUGCGUGCGCUCUGCGGGGAGAGCAGAGCGGAGGCUGUGUGUACAAAGGGACCAGCGGCUGAGCUUCGCUCCGAGAUCCUUGUGCAGCAUUGUGAAGCUGAUGUCGCGGGCUGCAUCCCGCGCAGAUCGCGAAGUACAGUUUGGAGAGAUGAAGCAGAGCCUUGCUCAGUAAUUCAACACUUCCACAAAUUUUAAAUGAGAGAAGAUUCAGCCUCCUUGUGUUAAUCUACUUGCCGUGUAUGACUAAAAGUGCUAUGUAUUAUUCUGAGCCGACUCAUAAUGAUGAAGCUUUCGUGUAAACCGGAUUGCUGACUGUUGAUACUCUGCACCUGCAGUCACCAUGCUAUAGGCAGGUGGAAUGAGUGUUGAUUGCCUCUGCAGAAGCUGCAGUAUGGUUUGAAUAUCAGCAGUCAUCUGGGAUUCAAGCCUAGAGAAGUAAUAAAAUUGGUGAACAUGU